This 2111-nucleotide long non-coding RNA is filed under the name Solanum tuberosum (potato). RNAcentral's name for it is "long non-coding RNA (STUB_LNC002909)". The record is from RNAcentral. Lineage: Eukaryota; Viridiplantae; Streptophyta; Magnoliopsida; Solanales; Solanaceae.
UUGAAAAGGAAUUUGAUAAAGGAAAUUGAUAGAUAAUGUUAACUCUUAUGAGGAUUCAUCCAAGUCAGUAAAAACGUCAGAAAAAUGUUAGCAUUCAUGAUGAAAUUAAUACUGAGGAAAUAAACAUAAACAGUGAAUUAUAAAACUGAAAUUUCCAGCCCAUAUUCGACCAUUUUGGGGGCUGAAAUUGCUGCGAACUGCUGCCCCAUUCCUUAUGGGUUUUAACCCAAUUUUGCUCUUCAUGUUUCAGCAUUUUGAGCUGUUGCUGCUGCUGUUUUAGUGAACUUUUGAGAGUCCAAAAAUCAUCAAUUUUCAGCCUUUUCAAGGCUGCUGCUGCUGCUGCUUCGUUAAUGAUGGGUUUUAACCCAAAUUUUUGCUCCUCAUUUUAGCUCUUUGGAGCUACUGUCGCUGCCACUGAUCCGCCGGUAUUACUUGGUUUAAAGGAGGGUCGACUCAGAGAGAAAAAUGCAAGAGAUAGGGAGUCCAAAUGAACUCGAAUAAGAGAGUGUUCAUGCGAAGGAGAAAGAGGAAACAGAAAUUAGAAUCAAUACGAAAUCAUAUUAAGCUAAAGCUGAUAACUUAAUAUGCCUAUGGUGACUGUAAAUGUGCAAAAUUUAAAGCAUCUAUUCAUAUUAAAAUUUAACAGUACAUUAGAGACCAUAUUAGGCAUUACAAGCAGACACCAAAUCUAAGAAAAGAAACUCCCUUUAUUUUAAAUCAAUGUAUACGCAUAAUAUGUCGCUCAAAUUUAUUGACAACAAAUCCUUGAGUUCAAAAGAAUUUCAAAGGAAACAUGGUGAGUUAACUUGUUGCCAAAUCGACCAAAAAUAACAGAUCAUAUAACCAUUAAUAAUUCAUAGUCUCUCAAAUCUGAUAAUAUGGUGAACCGGACAGAUUUUCAAAGCAAAGAAAGCUAAACAAAUAUAUCCAAACUCAAACUAGUCUUUAAAGCAUAGGAUUUAAAGAGAUAGUUAGAGCAAAAGACUACCACAAAAAGCUUUACGAGGAGAUGAGCAGGGAACAUUCAAUACUAAAUAAUACAUCUCAAAUAAUCUGUUUAAGACACAAAAUGGAAAGGAACUGCUAGAUGAGCUCACAUUUAGAAAUCAAAAGACACCGACAUCUAUUUUGAGAAGCAAAGAGACCUUGAAAUAAUUUGCAUUAUACGGAGGAAUUAAAAGAAAACUUAACCAACCAAACUAAAAAAAAGAAGAUGUCUAACAUAAGACAAACAAGAAGCUUCUUAUCCAUUUCCAAUACAAUUAAGGAAACUAAAACUAUUAAGAGCAAAUCACGGGCAUUUAAGAAACUAUAGAGACAAGAAUAAGAUACUAAGACCUUAGUUUUAAAUCUAAUUAACCAAUUUACAUAUUCGCGUUUUCAAAUCAGUGAACUGUUAGACAUAAAACAAGAAUUUAGCAUCUACACUAGAAAUUAACACCUAGAGUAGAAACCAUACAAAACAUGGAUAAGUAGUGCAGUACAGGAAACUUAACAGCACAAAAAUAAAGAAAAUUAUGAGACUAAACCCAUAUAAAACAACAAAGAAAUUAUACUAUCCAAAUGCUCGAAUCAACUCAAGGAGAAAAAAAAAUAAAAAUUUACCUUUCGCCGAGCAGCGAACCAAGACGAAGAGCUCGAGAAAAACACCACACCUUCAACUCGACAACCAAGACAAGAGAAUUUUGAACUAUGAACUGAGAGCUCCCAAAACCUUUUCGAGGGUGCUCUUCAGUCUCCCCAAAAAACCCGUCCCCUUGAACAGUGAAUGGGGUGGGUUUAUAUAGAAACCCAAGAAUCCCAAAAAUGGACGAAAUAUCGAUGUGGGACUGUUGCAAAUUGAAAAUCAUUUGAGAAGCGAUGUGGGAGAGGCCGAAACCUCCAAUUUUCGCAGUGAAUAAAGUGCAAGAGCUGGAGAGUGUACGAAUUUGCAACGAAAUUGAAAAGGAAAAAGGAAAUUGGAAUGGACCACACCAUGGUUGCCUCCGGAACCUCCGCGUGUCUUUAUGCUCGUGCUAAGCACGCGGAUUGUACGAAUUAUGAAGUAGAAAAGGGGAAAUUUGAGGCGGCAAAUUGGAUUUGGGAGUUAGAAUUCAUAAGGCUGCUGGUGC